Molecule: long non-coding RNA, 218 nt
Filed under: Anas zonorhyncha (Eastern spot-billed duck)
Lineage: Eukaryota; Metazoa; Chordata; Aves; Anseriformes; Anatidae
Description: lncRNA (ENSAZOG00000000960.1)
Source: RNAcentral
AAUUCCUAAUUUAAUUAAACUGUUUGAUUUUUUCUUUUUAAUUUUGAUUUAGAAAAAAUCCUACAUUCUUGUUCUGGAAAUCAACAGGAGUUAUCAAAAGCUUGUUUUCUGAAAUAAGACUAACAUUACCACAGCUCUUCAAAAAUGCAAAAUCUACAAGCCAAUUACUAUCCAUGUGUCUUUAAUGGGACAUAGGUGGUCUUGAGAACACAGCCAGA